GACGAACGCUGGCGGCGUGCCUAAUACAUGCAAGUCGAGCGCGGGAAACUGACGGAACUCUUCGGAGGGAAGGCAGUGGAAUGAGCGGCGGACGGGUGAGUAACACGUAAGGAACCUGCCUCAAGGAUUGGGAUAACUCCGAGAAAUCGGAGCUAAUACCGGGUAGUUCAACGGACCGCAUGGUCCGCUGAUGAAAGGCGCUCCGGCGUCACCUUGAGAUGGCCUUGCGGUGUAUUAGCUAGUUGGUGGGGUAACGGCCCACCAAGGCGACGAUGCAUAGCCGACCUGAGAGGGUGAUCGGCCACACUGGGACUGAGACACGGCCCAGACUCCUACGGGAGGCAGCAGUAGGGAAUCUUCCACAAUGGACGAAAGUCUGAUGGAGCAACGCCGCGUGAGUGAUGAAGGUUUUCGGAUCGUAAAACUCUGUUGUAAGGGAAGAACACGUACGAGAGGGAAUGCUCGUACCUUGACGGUACCUUACGAGAAAGCCACGGCUAACUACGUGCCAGCAGCCGCAGUAA
This 524-nucleotide ribosomal RNA is filed under the name uncultured bacterium. Its description in RNAcentral is "partial 16S ribosomal RNA". It matches the Rfam family "Bacterial small subunit ribosomal RNA", at positions 28 to 523 of the family's 1533-position model. The record is from RNAcentral.